This 233-nucleotide long non-coding RNA is filed under the name Nicotiana benthamiana. RNAcentral describes it as "long non-coding RNA (NBEN_LNC000950)". Lineage: Eukaryota; Viridiplantae; Streptophyta; Magnoliopsida; Solanales; Solanaceae. The record is from RNAcentral.
GCCCUCGAAUUCCGAGCCUAUCCAUAUUUUUAUUUUUCAAUUCCGACAACUUUGAAUUUUUUACGGUAGCUACAAUGCUUUUUCCGGCAGCUACAGUGUUCCAGUUUUUUCCGGCAGCUACAGUUUUCAAUUUCCAGUUUUCUGUUUCAGUUUCAGCGAGUUUUCAGUUUAUAAUCCAACGAUGUCUUUGGGACUCGAUGCUUUCGGGUCUAGAAACCCGGGUUCUGGCAGUU